This 214-nucleotide long non-coding RNA is filed under the name Trifolium pratense (red clover). RNAcentral describes it as "long non-coding RNA (TPRA_LNC013846)". Lineage: Eukaryota; Viridiplantae; Streptophyta; Magnoliopsida; Fabales; Fabaceae. The record is from RNAcentral.
GGAGCUAGCUCAAAAUAUUGGGGAGGGCCGCAAUUUUUCUUUUAAAGAAAAUAAAAAGUCAUGAAUGCAAAAACACCAAAUACACAACACCAACACUAACACACCUCAAGCCUAUCUAUCUUUGUCUAAGCCUCCACUAAUACACAACAACUAGGAGGACACCACAUCAGAUCAUGAACGAUCUGAGUAAUCACCAUUACAAAAUACACCUAGC